Molecule: non-coding RNA, 3877 nt
Organism: Schizosaccharomyces pombe (fission yeast)
Lineage: Eukaryota; Fungi; Ascomycota; Schizosaccharomycetes; Schizosaccharomycetales; Schizosaccharomycetaceae
Source: the annotation of a GenBank genome assembly
ACCAAUUAUUACGUCGAAAAUGGCACACUUGACAAUCAUCCAAAAAGCGCACUUUCGCCACGGAGUCGCAGCGCAAAAGCGGUAAACAAACACUCGAUCCAUUGGUCCAAAGCUACCAAACUAUAAAUUAUAUCUCUCAAUGUUAAAUAGGCCGACGAAAAAGAUAAAAGUUAAAUCUGUUUAACGACGAUGUCCAUACUUUGUUAUUUCGAGAUGGAUGUUUUGAACAAGGCUAUAUGGAACAAAAGUAGAUGCAAAGAUUGGAGUGAGUAAGGUGGGUCGUCGCUGGAGAUUAUGGUAUGUCGGCUGCAGCUAAAAAAAAAAUAAAUAAAAAAAGAAAAAAAGAAACCCCAAAAAAAAAAAAGAUGAAAGCAAUUGUGUAGCAAAAAAGUGUUGGAAAUAUUGUAGCAUUCCAACAUUCACAAAGGUUUCUUUUGGUCUUUUGUUUUCUUCUAGAUGUCAAACUGUAACAACAACAAAAAAGCUACUCAUGACUUCCCCACAAGCCAUAUGCCGCAUACAUACUCCGCUUGCCUUGCGCCAUAAAAUGUUUUGACUUUAACAUUGAGUAACAAGGCAGAGCGAUAUGAGAUGAACACCGUUUUGUACGAAAUUGGACGGUUUGCCCCAAAAUUUCUGCAUACUUGACCAAUCCACAAUGUGGGAUGGACAGCGCAUCCUGCACUUCAAAGCAAAUCUGUAAUAAACGUUGAAUAUGCGAAGAAAUGUGAAAAACUAUGAGAAGGGAAUACAGAAGCUUUGAGUAAGACUCCGACUUGGGAGAUUAAAAAUUUCCAUCCAUACACACCUUGGGGAACGGGACUUGGGGAUCAGUACCAAUUCCAACGCUAGUUAAAAAAACAACAACUGGGGAAACGGGGUCAACUGCGACAAAGGGAUUUCGGUUAAAAAAAUUGAAAGGGGGAAAUCGAAAGGGGAAUCGGUAGGAAGGCACAUCUCUAACAUUUCAUAGUGAAAUUUGUCGAGUUUGAGUAUGUUUAAAAUUUUUUUUAAUCAUAUGCCGAGAAAGAAAUUAUGUCAUUUGUUGAGGUGAAACAACCUGCAUCUAUCGAUGAUCAGGCAACGUUUUUCUACGAUUUCUAAUGUUUUCUGGUUUGUAACAAAUGUUAAUAUUGCCUAUCACCCAACAUGAUGAUAAGUUACAUAGUAAAUCACAUGUUUGCUUUACUUUUCGCUGUUUCAAAGUUGAACUACGAUGCAUCCAUAUUAGUAGCGCAACUCAAUAUAAGCCAGCUGGUCAAUGUGCUCCAUCGUUAAUUGAUGUACAAAUCGGAAACAAAGAUAAGAAUACCAUUUAUAAGGGUAAAUACAUUUAUUUGACAAGGUAAACAGAUUCGGCGGGACAUACAUUCGACAGAGAAACAUGUUUGAAAGGAAAAAUCAGGAAAGAUGUAAAAUAAUUGCCUCAACAGCUACAUGUGUGUGGUUUUGCAAACGUAAAGGAGAAUCCAUACAGUUUUUUUAAUUAUAAGUGAGUGAACUAUUGAAGGGCAGAUUGACUGCAUUGGAUGUCUGUUGCAAAAACAUUUAACAGAUAAGCUAAGCUAUACAAUAUAACAAGGCCUGACUUGGCUUUCUUUUUGGAUAGACAACUAGAUUAUGUGGGGGCAACAUAGGCUUUUUACUUUUCUGUCUUUACUACAACAUUUAAACAGAAAAAGUACUAAGUGGGGGACAUUUAACCAGAGAGUAGCAAUUUAAAGUACAGCUGAGAAAGGUGGGAGUCAUGUCCCUGUAUCCCACUGCACCUUGUUGCACUAGCAAAAGGCGCUGCUUAGAACAAUUUUCUGGUUAAAAAAAAAAAAGCGAUACUUUUACAAAACAUUUAGCGUUAAACAAAAUGAAAUUUCACCAACAAAUAUAAAUCUCUUCGAAUGUACAUGGACAUUGUGCUACGAAUUGGUAGCAUCGCUCACUUACUUACUCAUUCACCCUGUCGCUGCUCAAUAAAUAACGCGGAGUGAAAUGGCUUUUGUACGAUAGCUUUUCUCACAGUAAUCCUGGUAGUGAUUUUAUUUCGUUAUUGUGUUUCACAUAGUAUGCGUUUAGGUGAAUCUCCCACAGUGUCUUAGCCCUCAUUAUUUGGUAAACAAAUAGAAGUAAAAAUUAAAGGAAAAGUAUUUUAUGAAUAGAGGUUUAUAGCAAUUCAGCUAUCUUAUCGGCCGAAAAUACGUACGUUGUUCGAGGAAAUUAACAAUUUUAAAUUUCUUUCCUAGUUUUAUCCACAUGUUAAUGAAUUGUUGUACACUGUCAUUGCACAAAUCACUUGCAUACUAGCUGCGCGCAUGUCAAAAAUAUAUUUAAAAGAUGUUGUCCUAAUAUUGGAUGUUCUCUGAAUAUCUAAUGAAUAAAAAAAAAGUUACUUCUUUUUUGUCUUACUUACAUUUUCAUUGCAUCCGUUUUAAUGUCAUCUUUCUUUCCUAAACUCGACAAUACUUUCUUCCAUUUCAUUUGCUUUAUAAAAAAAAGUGUGACAUUAAAUUACAAAAAAAUACAUGCAACGAUUUCAAAAUUGAUUCCAAUGCCAAUGUUCCAAAAAGAGAAACACAUAUCAGACUGCUAUCAACACUGAAAUUAAUCAACAGUGUGGUCUCUCCAUACAGCGGUUGACGGCAGUUUUACGAUUAACCGUACAGACAUAGAAAACACCUCGACCGGAAGCAUCGAGCCAACCCUACCAGCACUGCUCAUGUAACCCGCCCAAAUUUGUGCAGGGCGUACACCUGGUUUGAAUAAUUGAUACCACCUUCCACGGCCUACCAACUGAGGGUAUGCAGCGUCUGCAAAUUCCUCAAUCGUAACAAACUUUUCUACGGGAUUUCUGUUUUCCAAUAUUAGUUUUCUGUAUGGAUAGUAAAUUGAAUUUUCUGGAAUAGCGGCUUCUGUCAUAGUGCCAAGAGGCUUGCUUUGAAUUUUGGUUUGCACACCGCCCGUCAUAAUACUAGUCACUUGGACUCCAAAGGGGGCCAGUUCUAUACGCAGCGUGUUGGAAUAUGCCAACAAGGCAGCCUUUGAGGCGUUGUAUGCUGCAUUAAAGGCAAAGGGAACAUAAGAGACGAGUGAAUUGACGUUCACAAUUGUUCCUUUAGCACGUAUAAGUUGAUGUUGAAACGCCUUGUUCAUUCGAAUUACCCCAUAAAAGUUAACAUCCAUGACUUUACUGACAUCUUCGAUAUCCAGGUCAAUGGCUGGUGCACUACAGGGAGCUCCUGCAUUGUUGAUUAAAUAAUGAAGGGAGCCGUUGGUAAACUUGCGCACCUCUUGCUCAACCUCUCGUACCGAAUCUUCAUCCGUAACGUCGAGUUUUAAUGUUUGAAGGCCAGCUUUUGUCAGGUUAUCCAUACGUUCCACCUGCCUCGCUGUUGCUAAGACUUGAAAACCCUCUUGAUGAAACUUCAAGGCCAACGCAUUUCCAAUGCCUCCUUCACUACACCCUGUAAUUAGUACAAACUUCUCAGCUUCCAUAAUAAAUUUCUCUAUCAAAAUUUCCUACUACUUGGUUAAGAAAGAAACCACUUUUGAAAUAGAUCUUGCUAGUCGCUACAACUUUCAAGUACGUCACAUUUAUUAAGCACUCUCACUCUUUCCGCCGUCAUGAAUAAUAAGCUUGAAAUUCAAAUGUUCCAUACAGUUUGUAGGAUAGUUUACAAAAAAGAAACAAGAACGAGAAUGAAUGAAAGAGUUUUGUUGUUGAAUGGUGUUUUAAUGAAAUUUUGGCAUUAACUGUGUUUAGAGCUUAUAAUCAGUGUUUGCGAUCAUUUUUUUUAAGCUUGCUUUUCAUUUAUCCUUCUUUUUAUUUAUUUUUAUUUUUCUUUUCAUUUACAUUGGCUUUUUCUUUUUUUUAUUUGUUUUCCAA